GAUGAACGCUGGCGGCGUGCCUAAUACAUGCAAGUCGAGCGAACAGACGAGGAGCUUGCUCCUCUGACGUUAGCGGCGGACGGGUGAGUAACACGUGGAUAACCUACCUAUAAGACUGGGAUAACUUCGGGAAACCGGAGCUAAUACCGGAUAAUAUAUUGAACCGCAUGGUUCAAUAGUGAAAGACGGUUUUGCUGUCACUUAUAGAUGGAUCCGCGCCGCAUUAGCUAGUUGGUAGGGUAACGGCUUACCACGGCGACGAUGCGUAGCCGACCUGAGAGGGUGAUCGGCCACACUGGAACUGAGACACGGUCCAGACUCCUACGGGAGGCAGCAGUAGGGAAUCUUCCGCAAUGGGCGAAAGCCUGACGGAGCAACGCCGCGUGAGUGAUGAAGGUCUUCGGAUCGUAAAACUCUGUUAUUAGGGAAGAACAAAUGUGUAAGUAACUAUGCACGUCUUGACGGUACCUAAUCAGAAAGCCACGGCUAACUACGUG
Molecule: ribosomal RNA, 497 nt
Filed under: uncultured bacterium
Lineage: Bacteria
Description: partial 16S ribosomal RNA
Rfam family: Bacterial small subunit ribosomal RNA
Source: RNAcentral